Molecule: ribosomal RNA, 599 nt
Filed under: uncultured bacterium
Lineage: Bacteria
Description: bacterial SSU rRNA
Rfam family: Bacterial small subunit ribosomal RNA (bases 1-511)
Source: RNAcentral
CCUACGGGAGGCAGCAGUGGGGAAUCUUGCACAAUGGAGGAAACUCUGAUGCAGCGACGCCGCGUGAGCGAUGAAGCCCUUCGGGGUGUAAAGCUCUUUCGACGGGAAAGAUAAUGACGGUACCCGAAGAAGAAGCUGCGGCUAACUACGUGCCAGCAGCCGCGGUAAUACGUAGGCAGCAAGCGUUGUUCGGAAUUACUGGGCGUAAAGAGUGUGUAGGCGGUGCUCUAAGAUUGGUGUGAAAUCUCCCGGCUCAACCGGGAGGGUGCGCCGAAGACUGGGGUGCUUGAGGGUGGGAGAGGUAAGCGGAAUUCCUGGUGUAGCGGUGAAAUGCGUAGAUAUCAGGAGGAACACCUGUGGUGUAGACAGCUUACUGGACCACUUCUGACGCUGAGACACGAAAGCGUGGGUAGCAAACAGGAUUAGAUACCCUGGUAGUCCACGCCCUAAACGAUGCAUACUUGGUGUGAGCAUCUAUUGUUGUGCGGNGCUACGUACGUUAGUAUGCGCCGUGGGAGGUACGGUCGCGAGGACGUGAACGUACAAUAGAAGUUAGUACGGCGUGAGACGUCGCCGACGGACGACGACGAGGGAGGAGG